Molecule: long non-coding RNA, 369 nt
Filed under: Hordeum vulgare
Lineage: Eukaryota; Viridiplantae; Streptophyta; Magnoliopsida; Poales; Poaceae
Description: long non-coding RNA (HVUL_LNC021346)
Source: RNAcentral
CUCACGCGAGGCUCACUGCGUGCCCCUGCUCAUAGCGGAAGGAAGAUGGGAAGAAGAAGAAAGAGGUUUGUUGCCUCCACACCUGUGGGGCGGCAUGCGAAGGGGCCUUGAAGCAGUUUCCCUAUGGACAGAGAGAAAGAAAGGGAAUCAGGAGUGUGGGGAGAAGAAGACGGCGUGGUGAGAGGCGAGGAUGAGGCCGGCUCAGAAGAUAAGAUUGGAGAGAUAAAGAGUGGUGUGUGUUGUCCUGCACCGAACAACACAAGCGGGAUGGACACGAAAGCACUCACCUGGAUAUGAUUAGAUUAGCUAGAAAGAUUAAAGAAAGAAGCAGAAUGAACUAGGGAGGAACACACUCAAGGUACUCCUGUG